RNAcentral lists this transfer RNA (71 nucleotides) under Phrynosoma platyrhinos (Desert horned lizard). Its description in RNAcentral is "tRNA-OTHER". The record is from RNAcentral. Lineage: Eukaryota; Metazoa; Chordata; Lepidosauria; Squamata; Phrynosomatidae.
GUCAGUGUGGCAUAGUGGUUUGGGUGUUGGACUAUGACUCUGUUGACCAGGGUUCGAUUCCCAGCUCGACC